CGGUAAUUCCAGCUCCAAUAGCGUAUACUAAUGCUGUUGCUGUUAAAAAGCUCGUAGUUCGACAAGGAUUGAUUCUGGUUCUCAGUCAUGUGUGCACCAUUCGUGGUUUCAUUCGAUCAGAUCCAUAUGGAAUCGAUUCUCUUCUGACGGAACUAGCUCGGAUGAAGUGCUCUUCAUUGAGCAUGGAAUCGCUCCGCAUUAACCCCAUGCUUAAGAGCGUUCCGUCGCGAUACCGUGAACAAAACAGCGUGCUCCAAGCAAGUGAUUCAGCUCGAAUGUUCAAGCAUGGCAUUUCAGGGAAGCGACCGUGAGGUCGAUCUUUGCUGGUUUCUGUGACCGUUUCGGGGAAUUGGACUAGAGAUGAUCCUUGGGUCUUUAAGCGAACGUGUCUUCACUAGUCAUAAUCUCUUUGUCAGCCUGAGGAAGCUCUGGUUUACCGGUAUUAACAGGAGUGGAUGGAGCAGUACGUAUUGGCACGCGAGGGGUGAAAUCCUUAGACCGUGCCAAGACGAACAUAAGCGAAGGCAUUCUGCGUGUACAUCUUCGUUAAUCAAGAACGAGAGUGCAGGGAUCGAAGAUGAUCAGAUACCGUCGUAGUCUGCUACUGUAAACGAUGCGAGCUCGGGAUCAGCCAUUGUUCGAUCAUAUUAUGACCUGGCUGGAACCAUGUAUUCUCUCUUCACGCGAAAGCUUUAAGCUUAUGCGUUCAGGGGGGAGUACAGUUGCAAGGCUGAAACUUAAAGGAAUUGACGGAAUGACACCACAAGGCGUGGAUGCUGCGGCUUAAUUUGACUCAACACGGGAAAUCUCACCAGGUCAGGACGCUUAUUGGAUUGACAGAUUGAAAGCUCUUUCUUGAUUAUGUGUAUGGUGGUGCAUGGCCGCUCCUGGUUGGUGGAGUGAUUUGUCUGGUUGAUUCCGUUAACGAACGAGAUCUUGGCCCUUCAAUGACAGUUCGAUCGACCUGUAGUUCAAUGCUUUAAUGCUCCGGUAAAUGGCUUGGAUGAGAUCGAAUCUUGUACUCAAGGGGACGAUGCAUGUUAACAAUGCAUGGAAGUGCGAGCCAAUAGCAGGUCUGUGAUGCUCCUAGAUGUCCUGGACUGCACGCGGCAUACAAUGGCUGUGAGAACGAGCUUGGUUCUGUUGGAGCCCCUUGUGUGAAGACACUGGGGAAUCUUGCGAAACACAGUCGUAACUGGGAUCGUUGAUUGCAAUUAUUUGCCUUGAACCAGGAAUGCCUUGUAAGAUCGACUCAUCAAAUCGAUCUGAAUACGUCCCUGCCGUUUGUACACACCGCCCGUCGUUGCAAUCGAUCGGUCCCAUGCUAGAGAUCUUCUGGAGAUGACUUUGCUGGAUUUCUGCAUGAUGGCUUAGUCAUCAAAGUUGAUCAAUAGCAUUGGACUAGAGAAUGCAAAAGUCGAAAGCAAGGUAGCCG
RNAcentral lists this ribosomal RNA (1435 nucleotides) under uncultured euglenozoan. Its description in RNAcentral is "bacterial SSU rRNA". It matches the Rfam family "Eukaryotic small subunit ribosomal RNA", at positions 577 to 1805 of the family's 1831-position model. Lineage: Eukaryota; Euglenozoa. The record is from RNAcentral.